Molecule: ribosomal RNA, 433 nt
Filed under: uncultured bacterium
Lineage: Bacteria
Description: bacterial SSU rRNA
Rfam family: Bacterial small subunit ribosomal RNA
Source: RNAcentral
AACGAACGCUGGCGGCAGGCCUAAAACAUGCAAGUCGAACGCUGUAGCAAUACAGAGUGGCGCACGGGUGAGUAACGCGUGGGAACGUGCCCUUCAGUACGGGACAACGUCGGGAAACUGACGCUAAUACCGUAUAAUAUCUCCGGAUCAAAGAUUUAUCGCUGAAGGAUCGGCCCGCGUCUGAUUAGUUUGUUGGUGAGGUAAUGGCUUACCAAGACUACGAUCAGUAGCAGGUCUGAGAGGAUGAUCUGCCACACUGGGACUGAGACACGGCCCAGACUCCUACGGGAGGCAGCAGUUAGGAAUAUUGGACAAUGGGGGAAACCCUGAUCCAGCCAUGCCGCGUGUGUGAUGAAGGCCUUAGGGUUGUAAAGCACUUUCGUUGGGGAAGAUAAUGACCGUACCCAAAGAAGAAGCACCGGCUAACUUCGUG